This 982-nucleotide long non-coding RNA is filed under the name Rattus norvegicus (Norway rat). Its description in RNAcentral is "long non-coding RNA NONRATT024797". Lineage: Eukaryota; Metazoa; Chordata; Mammalia; Rodentia; Muridae. The record is from RNAcentral.
GGCCGCUGUACUCUGAUCAGCACUCCCCAAAUGGCAAGACCUCCACAAAAUACACAUGGCAUGGUGGUGGGAGCUCUGUUCCACCUAGCAUCACUCUUGCUCCUGGGUCCAAGCCAACUGAACUUUCCUAGGCACAGAGCAAGGGCUGUCUGGAGGCUCUUCUGCAGGCAGUGAUGAGUGCUGGGGAAGACAUAAGCCUCUGCUGCUCAUGCGUUGAUAGCUGGAAUCAGUAACAUGACCCUCUCACCCAACUACAAGAGAAGCUCUGCCCUCUGCACCGGCAAUGCCCUGGAGUAUUAAGUGGGUGGCCCUGGUAUUUCUCUCAGACAAUUGGUCCAGAGCACUAUGUUUGUUUGCCCUUGGUGGGCAAACAGCCCAGCUGAUAAGUGUCAUAAAGGGGUGGGACAUGGCCCCAGCAAUGAUCAUAGAAAGUUUGGAACUGUUUGGCCUCCAGUGGACAUAGAGAAAACAUGGGGAUCCUACCUCCUAUCAGAACCAAUGCCCCCACUCCAUGCCCCCUUAGUCUUUCCUUCACAUGGCAUUCUGCAGAGCACCAAGACCCUCAACAUCACCCUGGAACCACGACCAAACUCAGGAGACAUCCACACAGCACAGAACCGAGGACCCUUGGGUGGUGGUUCUCGGCAGGAUGUGACAGAACACUUUGCUGUCUCUAUUGUCAUUGCAUGAGGCAUCUGAGAUGUAGAAAAGUUGACUGACUCGCCAAAAAGGAAAAUGAAAGUUAGAGAUCUAGUCCCAAGUCUUAAACCUUCUAGUUAAAUUUACUGCAAAAAUAAAUAAUAAAAUAAACAUUGCCAUGCUGGAACAAUACCACACCUUUUAAUGGUGACAAUGUGAGUUACAUUUAGUUCCUUAGUAGUGACAUUUCUGCAUAUCCAAGAUCAGGACUUGUCUUAAUUUAUUCUAAAUUAAACUGACCUUAUACCAGUAUAAUUCUUUGAAUAAAAUAUACGACAUAUUA